GACGGAGGGUGCGAGCGUUGUUCGGAAUUACUGGGCGUAAAGCGCGCGUAGGCGGUUUGUUAAGUCAGCUGUGAAAGCCCCGGGCUCAACCUGGGAACUGCAGUUGAUACUGGCCGACUAGAGUACGAGAGAGGGAGGUAGAAUUCCAUGUGUAGCGGUGAAAUGCGUAGAUAUAUGGAGGAAUACCAGUGGCGAAGGCGGCCUCCUGGCUCGAUACUGACGCUGAGGUGCGAAAGCGUGGGGAUCAAACAGG
This 253-nucleotide ribosomal RNA is filed under the name uncultured bacterium. RNAcentral describes it as "partial 16S ribosomal RNA". It matches the Rfam family "Bacterial small subunit ribosomal RNA", at positions 524 to 776 of the family's 1533-position model. The record is from RNAcentral.